AUUGAACGCUGGCGGAAUGCUUUACACAUGCAAGUCGAGCGGCAGCACGGGGGCAACCCUGGUGGCGAGCGGCGAACGGGUGAGUAAUACAUCGGAACAUGCCCAGUCGUGGGGGAUAACACUUCGAAAGAAGUGCUAAUACCGCAUACGUCCUGAGGGAGAAAGCGGGGGAUCGCAAGACCUCGCGCGAUUGGAGUGGCCGAUGUCAGAUUAGCUAGUUGGUGGGGUAAAGGCCUACCAAGGCAACGAUCUGUAGCUGGUCUGAGAGGAUGAUCAGCCACACUGGGACUGAGACACGGCCCAGACUCCUACGGGAGGCAGCAGUGGGGAAUGUUGGACAAUGGGGGCAACCCUGAUCCAGCCAUUCCGCGUGAGUGAAGAAGGCCUUCGGGUUGUAAAGCUCUUUCGGCAGGAACGAAACGGUGAGCUCUAACAUAGCUCGCUAAUGACGGUACCUGAAGAAGAAGCACCGGCUAACUACGUG
RNAcentral lists this ribosomal RNA (484 nucleotides) under uncultured bacterium. RNAcentral describes it as "partial 16S ribosomal RNA". It matches the Rfam family "Bacterial small subunit ribosomal RNA", at positions 30 to 507 of the family's 1533-position model. The record is from RNAcentral.